Drosophila simulans is the source of this 589-nucleotide long non-coding RNA. RefSeq lists it as uncharacterized. NCBI's taxonomy places the organism in Eukaryota, Metazoa, Arthropoda, Insecta, Diptera, Drosophilidae. The record is from RefSeq and is a predicted model, not a curated record. The transcript is spliced from 2 exons.
GCUCGAAAUUGACACGUUCGCUUUGCGCGAAUAGGGAGACGCUCUCGAAGGGAGCCAGAUUGACGUUGCGCACAUAGUCCGACUUGAUGAUGAAGGUGCCGGCAUCGUUGCAGUAGAGGUUCCACAGGAAUCUAAAACGUAAGACCAGACCGCAGAGCAGGUCGUUGAAGGAGAUGCCACGCUGGGUGCCACCACAGGCGGCAUAUAACAUGUCCACGAUCUUUGGCGGCACUCCCUCGCACAGCACAUCCUGCUGAAAGGCAUUCCGACUGAGGAAGUUUCUGCCCACGCCCGCUGACUUUUUGAAGGCAUCUCUCAGGCGGCGAAGCUCCACGUCGCUUACUGGAAUAAAAAUCGGCGAAUGAGUAACGCUGCGGUAGGGAUUAUCCCAUGUGCCUCUAAUAAAUAGCCGGUAUUCCUGGUAACCCCCUCAUUUAAUGCGAUUUACGACCUCGAUUUCACACCAACCGACGUGCCGACCAUAACGAACUGAUUAUAGGGAACAGAAGUUCCAGUAUAGAAACCGAAUUCAAAUACAUUCGCUGUAAUUGUUUUUAAUAUCAAUAAACAUCAUUUCCGAGCUCAUUUA